Labrus mixtus (cuckoo wrasse) is the source of this 2283-nucleotide long non-coding RNA. RefSeq lists it as uncharacterized. The transcript is spliced from 2 exons. NCBI's taxonomy places the organism in Eukaryota, Metazoa, Chordata, Actinopteri, Labriformes, Labridae. The record is from RefSeq and is a predicted model, not a curated record.
AGCAGCUUCAGAUUUUAAGAUUCUGCAGCAGCUUCAGAUUUAAAGAGUCUGAAGCAGCCUCAGAUUUAAAGAGUCUGCAGCAGCUUCAGAUUUUAAGAUUCUGCAGCAGCUUCAGAUUUUAAGAUUCUGCAGCAGCUUCAGAUUUAAAGAGUCGGAAGCAGCCUCAGAUUUAAAGAGUCUGAAGCAGCCUCAGAUUUAAAGAGUCUGCAGCAGCUUCAGAUUUUAAGAUUCUGCAGCAGCUUCAGAUUUAAAGAGUCGGAAGCAGCCUCAGAUUUAAACAGUCUGAAGCACAUUCAGAUUUAAAGAAGUGAACUUCUUUGCGUUUUAAUAUAUGUUAUUUUGAAGGCAUACAGAGAUGUAAUUGUUUUACUGAUCACUGGAAUUUUUGAGUGUCACAUCUCUUAUAAAUCCUAUGGCGCUGUUACCACCAACUCUCAGCAGACGUUCAUUUUUUCACUCUAACUGUGUGUGGCUGUUAGCGCCCUCUGUUUGUGAGUUAGACUCUUUUUACAAUGAGGCUGAUCUACAGAGAAAGAGCCCAUUGUUUCUCAAAUGACUGAAUAAUAAACAUAGACACAUUGUUUGCUCUGCAGCGCAGUUAGGGGAGCAUUUAACUCUUUGCAUGUGGUGAAUUUGACAGUGUCAUUUAAACUCCUUAUCACAGGUUGAGCUAAGGGUCUGAAUCAAUCCUUAUGUGAAUCAGACCCUCAGUAGAAACAGGUCAUCAGUGUCCACCUUGUCCGCUUUGUUGUCUUGUUGUUGGUGGUGAGGACUACAGGUCUGAUAUUGAUCCUAAAUCUUUGUAAAGAUCAACACUACAUGUAUGCUAAGCUCUGUUCUAAUCUUUAUUUUUUUAUAGAAACUUUAUUUUAACACUGUGAACACAUAAGAACUUACAACCUACAGCCGGAUGUUUGGCUUCUUUAAGUGUCUUUGGAUUUAGGACUUAGUGUGACGUGGACACUACAUACUUUGACCACAGGGGGUGCCAUAAUCCACAAUUACUGAUAGAUCAAGGGUUCCUUAUUUGAAAUUAUUUCAUGUUUGAUAUUAAAAUUAUUUGUUGGAAUAUUUUCGGGGGAAACUACUUUAGGGGUUAUAUAAUGUAUAACUCUACUUGGUCUAUAAUGUCACUAUGAAUGACAUCUGUAGGGUCAACAUCCAGGACCAACCAAAACUAAGAACGACAACCCCGAUUACCACGAUACAUGUAGCAUUUUGUUUUAGUGAAACACGACGGACAGACAGACAGACAGACAGACAGGCAGGCAGACACACAGAGAGGUAGAGAGACGGACAGACAGACAGACAGGCAGGCAGACACACAGAGAGAGAGACAGACAGACAGACAGACCGGCAGACAGACAGACAGACAGACAGACAGACAGACAGCUCUGAAGGAGUUGAGACAGGGAUGUAGUCCUCUCUCCUCAGUUAGAAAACAUUCUCGUCACUGUGAGUGCUAGUUUUAUUCUCUCGUCAUUAUUGGUCAAUGUUACUGGAUGUUAGAGGAACAGUACCACAAAUAUACACAUCCACUUUUUCAUAAAAGCUGAAAUAAAUGUUUAAAUAUGACCAGAACCUGCUCAAUCCUUCAUCUGAUUGCGUCCAGGGUCAGAGCCUGACAGGAGAGUCCUCCAGCCCUUAAUUUCUCUGUAUCUUCGGCCCUUUAUUUACUCAGUAUAUUCAGUAUCCGGCCCAUUAUUUACUCUGUAUCUUCAGUGUCUUUCCCAUUACCAUUAUUCACGCUCUAUCUUCAGGAUCAGGCCCAUUAUUUACUCUGUAUCUUCAUUACCUGGCCCAUUAUUUUCUUUGUAUCUUCAGUGUCCGUCCCAUUAUCAUUAUUGACUCUGUAUCUUCAUUACCCGGCCCAUUAUUUACUCUGUAUCUGAUGUAUCCAGCCCAUUAUUUACUCUGUAUCUUCAGUGUCCGUCCCUUUACCAUUAUUUACUUUGUAUAUUCAGUAUCCGGCUCAUUAUUUACUCUGUAUCUUCAUGUUUUUCAGUUGUAGCAUGUUCCAGGUGUCAUAUAAGAAAUCUACUGUACGUAUAAAACGUAACUAUUUGUUGUGGAAAUGGACAAUGUAUUUUUUCAUGAAUAAAAUAGUAUAUAUAUUGUUAUUUGUUUUAGCAGAGAUUUAUAAGUUGCCAAAUAUAAAGACAAAGUCAUUGAGAUAUAUUUUUGGGCACUUGUAAAGAUGUUGUGUUGUUAUAAACCCCGUCAGGAUGGAAAUGUUUGACUUGAUUGCAAUAAUGAACAAAUUAAAGUGAUGUUAAAAAAAUA